CUCCUACAAAUUCUUUAAAGAAUAGUACACCACGACAUAGUAAUGCAAUGCCUAGAGUUAAACCUAACAACUUUGGCAGAUACAUACUUGAAUUUGUACCAUUGUUCCUGCCAUCUUCUAUUAGUGCACAUUGUGUCUGCAUGAACAACCAACUUCAGUUAUAAGGAUUGUACACAAAUAGACUUAUUUGUAAAUAAAAAGUGCCAAGGAAUAAACACUGCAACAUAGUUGCUGAUAUUUAUUUAGCUACAUAAAGCAGGAACAUAAAUUUGAAGGAAAUAUGCCCUAGAGGCAAUAAUAAAGUUAUUAUUUAUUUCCUUAUAUCAUGAUAAAAGUUUAUUAUUCAUGCUAGAAUUGUAUUAACCGGAAACAUAAUACAUGUGUGAAUACAUAGACAAACAGAGUGUCACUAGUAUGCCUCUACUUGACUAGCUCGUUAAUCAAAGAUGGUUAUGUUUCCUAACCAUGGACAAAGAGUUAUCAUUUGAUUAACGGGAUCACAUCAUUAGUUGAAUGAUCUGAUUGACAUGACCCAUUCCAUUAGCUUAGCAACCGAUCGUUUAGUAUGUUGCUAUUGCUUUCUUCAUGACUUAUACAUGUUCCUAUGACUAUGCGAUUAUUUAACUCCCGUGUGCCGGAGGAACACUUUGUGUGCUACCAAACGUCACAACAUAACUGGGUGAUUAUAAAGGUGCUCUACAGGUGUCUCCAAAGGUACAUGUUGGGUUGACGUAUUUCGAGAUUAGGAUUUGUCACUCCGAUCAUCUGAGAGGUAUCUCUGGGCCCUCUCGAUAAUGCACAUCACUUAAGCCUUGCAAGCAUUGCAACUAAUGAGUUAGUUGCGGGAUGAUGUAUUACGGAACGAGUAAAGAGACUUACCGGUAACAAGAUUGAACUAGGUAUUGGAUACCGACGAUCGAAUCUCGGGCAAGUAACAUACCGAUGACAAAGGGAACAACGUAUGUUGUUAUGCGGUCUGCCGAUAAAAGAUCUUCGUAGAAUAUGUAGGAACCAAUAUGGGCAUCCAGGUCCCGCUAUUGGUUAUUGACCGGAGACGUGUCUCGGUCAUGUCUACAUUGUUCUCGAACCCGUAGGGUCCGCACGCUUAAGGUUACGAUGACAGUUAUAUUAUGAGUUUAUGCAUUUUGAUGUACCGAAGUUUGUUCGGAGUCUCGGAUGUGAUCACGGACAUGACGAGGAGUCUCGAAAUGGUCGAGACAUAAAGAUUGAUAUAUUGGAAGCCUAUGUUCGGAUAUCGGAAGUGUUCCGGGUGAAAUCGGGAUUUUACCGGAGUACCGGGAGGUUACCGGAACCCCCCGGGAGCUAUAUGGGCCUUAGUGGGCCUUAGUGGAAGAAGAGAAGAGGCGGCCAGGGCUGGGCCGCGCGCCCCUCCCCCCUAGUCCGAAUAGGACAAGGAGAGAGGGGGCCGGCGCCCCCCUCCUUCUCUCUCCGUCUUUUCCCACCUCGCGAGUCCUAUUCCAACUAGGAUUGGGGGGGGGGAAGUCCUACUCUUGGAGGGAGUAGGACUCCUCCUGGCGCGCCCUAUGAUGGCCGGCCGGCCUCCCCCUCUUGAACCUUUAUAUACGGAGGCAGGGGCACCCCUAGAGAGACAAGUUGAUCCACGUGAUCAUAUUCUUAGCCGUGUGCGGCGCCCCCUUACACCGUAGUCCUCGAUAAUAUUGUAGCGGUGCUUAGGCGAAGCCCUGCGAUAGUAGUACAUCAAGAUCGUCACCACGCCGUUGUGCUGACGAAACUCUUCCCCGACACUUUGCUGGAUCGGAGUCCGGGGAUCGUCAUCGAGCUGGACGUGUGCUAGAACUCGGAGGUGCCGUAGUUUCGGUGCUUGAUCGGUCGGGCCGUGGAUUCGUACGACUACAUCAACCAAACGCUUCCGUUGUCGAUCUACAAGGGUAUGUAGAUCACACUCUCCCCUCUCGUUGCUAUGCAUCACCAUGAUCUUGCGUGUGCGUAGGAAUUUUUUUGAAAUUACUACGUUCCCCAACAGUGGUAUCAGAGCCUAGGUUUUAUAUGUUGAUGUUAUAUGCACGAGUAGAACACAAGUGAGUUGUGGGCGAUAUAAGUCAUACUGCUUACCAGCAUGUCAUACUUUGGUUCGGCGGUAUUGUUGGACGAAGCGGCCCGGACCGACAUUACGCGUACGCUUACGCGAGACCGGUUCUCCCGACGUGCUUUGCACAUAGGUGGCUUGCGGGUGACAGUUUCUCCAACUUUAGUUGAACCGAGUGUGGCUACGCCCGGUCCUUGCGAAGGUUAAAACAACACCAACUUGACAAACUAUCGUUGUGGUUUUGAUGCGUAGGUAAGAUUGGUUCUUGCUUAAGCCCGUAGCAGCCACGUAAAACUUGCAACAACAAAGUAGAGGACGUCUAACUUGUUUUUGCAGGGCAUGUAGUGAUGUGAUAUGGUCAAGACAUGAUGCUAAAUUUUAUUGUAUGAGAUGAUCAUGUUUUGUAACCGAGUUAUCGGCAACUGGCAGGAGCCAUAUGGUUGUCGCUUUAUUGUAUGCAAUGCAAUCGCGCUGUAAUGCUUUACUUUAUCACUAAGCGGAAGCGAUAGUCGUGGAAGCAUAAGAUUGGCGAGACGACAACGAUGCUACGAUGGAGAUCAAGGUGUCGCACCGGUGACGAUGGUGAUCAUGACGGUGCUUCGGAGAUGGAGAUCACAGGCACAAGAUGAUGAUGGCCAUAUCAUAUCACUUAUAUUGAUUGCAUGUGAUGUUUAUCUUUUAUGCAUUUUAUCUUGCUUUGAUUGACGGUAGCAUUAUAAGAUGAUCUCUCACUAAAUUAUCAAGAAGUGUUCUCCCUGAGUAUGCACCGUUGCCAAAGUUCGUCAUGCCCAGACACCAUGUGAUGAUCGGGUGUGAUAAGCUCUACGUCCAUCUACAACGGGUGCAAGCCAGUUUUGCACACGCAGAAUACUCAGGUUAAACUUGACGAGCCUAGCAUAUGCAGAUAUGGCCUCGGAACACUGAGACCGAAAGGUCGAGCGUGAAUCAUAUAGUAGAUAUGAUCAACAUAGUGAUGUUCACCAUUGAAAGCUACUCCAUUUCACGUGAUGAUCGGUUAUGGUUUAGUUGAUUUGGAUCACGUGAUCACUUAGAGGAUUAGAGGGAUGUCUAUCUAAGUGGGAGUUCUUUAAGUAAUUUGAUUAAUUGAACUUAAAUUUAUCAUGAACUUAGUACCUGAUAGUAUCUUGCUUAUGUAUGUUUGAUUGUAGAUAGAUGGCCCGUGCUGUUGUUCCAUUGAAUUUUAAUGCGUUCCUUGAGAAAGCAAAGUUGAAAGAUGAUGGUAGCAAUUACACGGACUGUGUCUGUAACUUGAGGAUUAUCCUCAUUGCUGCACAGAAGAAUUACGUCCUGGAAGCACCGCUGGGUGCCAGGCCUGCUGCUGGAGCAACACCAGAUGUUAUGAACGUCUGGCAGAGCAAAGCUGAUGACUACUCGAUAGUUCAGUGUGCCAUGCUUUACGGCUUAGAAUCGGGACUUCAAUGACGUUUUGAACGUCAUGGAGCAUAUGAGAUGUUCCAGGAGUUGAAGUUAAUAUUUCAAGCAAAUGCCCGGAUUGAGAGAUAUGAAGUCUCCAAUAAGUUCUAUAGCUGCAAGAUGGAGGAGAACAGUUCAGUCAGUGAGCAUAUACUCAAAAUGUAUGGGUAUAAUAAUCACUUGAUUCAGAUGGGAGUUAAUCUUCCAGAUGAUUGCGUCAUUGACAUAAUUCUCCAAUCACCGCCACCAAGCUACAAGAGCUUCGUGAUGAACUAUAAUAUGCAAGGGAUAAAUAAGACUAUUCCCGAGCUCUUCGCAAUGCUGAAAGCUGCGGAGGUAGAAAUCAAAAAGGAGCAUCAAGUGUUGAUGGUCAACAAGACCACUGGUUUCAAGAAAAAGGGCAAAGGGAAGAAGAAGGAGAACUUCAAGAAGAACAUCAAGCAAGUUGCUUCUCAAGAGAAGAAACCCAAGUCUGGACCUAAGCCUGAAACUGAGUGCUUCUACUGCAAGCAGACUGGUCACUGGAAGCGGAACUGCCCCAAGUAUUUGGCGGAUAAGAAGGAUGGCAAGGUGAACAAAGGUAUAUGUGAUAUACAUGUUAUUGAUGUGUACCUUACUAGAGCUCGCGGUAGCACCUGGGUAUUUGAUACUGGUUCUGUUGCUAAUAUUUGCAACUCGAAACAGGGACUACAGAUUAAGCGAACACUGGCAAAGGACGAGGUGAUGAUGCGCGUAGGAAAUGGUUCCAAAGUCGAUGUGAUCGCGGUCGGCACGCUACCUCUACAUCUACCUUCAGGAUUAGUAUUAGACCUAAAUAAUUGUUAUUUGGUUCCAGCGUUGAGCAUGAACAUUAUAUCUGGAUCUUGUUUAAUGCGAGACGGUUAUUCAUUUAAAUCGGAGAAUAAUGGUUGUUCUAUUUAUAUGAGUAAUAUCUUUUAUGGUCAUGCCCCUUUGAAGAGUGGUCUAUUUUUGAUGAAUCUCGAUAGUAGUAACACACAUAUUCAUAAUGUUGAAACCAAAAGAUGCAGAGUUGAUAAUGAUAGUGCAACUUAUUUGUGGCACUACCGUUUAGGUCAUAUCGGUAUAAAGUGCAUGAAGAAACUCCAUACUGAUGGACUUUUGGAACCACUUGAUUAUGAAUCACUUGGUACUUGUGAACCGUGCCUCAUGGGCAAGAUGACUAAAACACCGUUCUCCGGUACUAUGGAGAGAGCAACAGAUUUGUUGGAAAUCAUACAUACAGAUGUAUGUGGUCCGAUGAAUAUUGAGGCUCAUGGCGGAUAUCGUUAUUUUCUCACCUUCACAGAUGACUUAAGCAGAUAUGGGUAUAUCUACUUAAUGAAACAUAAGUUUGAAACAUUUGAAAAGUUCAAAGAAUUUCAGAGUGAAGUUGAAAAUCAUCGUAACAAGAAAAUAAAGUUUCUACGAUCUGAUCGUGGAGGAGAAUAUUUGAGUUACGAGUUUGGUGUACAUUUGAAACAAUGCGGAAUAGUUUCGCAACUCACGCCACCCGGAACACCACAGCGUAAUGGUGUGUCCGAACGUCGUAAUCGUACUUUACUAGAUAUGGUGCGAUCUAUGACGUCUCUUACUGAUUUACCGCUAUCGUUUUGGGGUUAUGCUUUAGAGACGGCCGCAUUCACGUUAAAUAGGGCACCAUCAAAAUCCGUUGAGACGACGCCUUAUGAACUAUGGUUUGGCAAGAAACCAAAGUUGUCGUUUCUUAAAGUUUGGGGCUGCGAUGCUUAUGUGAAAAAGCUUCAACCUGAUAAGCUCGAACCCAAAUCGGAGAAAUGUGUCUUCAUAGGAUACCCAAAGGAGACUGUUGGGUACACCUUCUAUCACAGAUCGAAGGCAGGACAUUCGUUGCUAAGAAUGGAUCCUUUCUAGAGAAGGAGUUUGGCCUUCAGUUAAAACAAUGUGAAAUAGUUUCACUACUCAUGCCACCUGGAACACCACAAUGUAAUGGUGUGUCCAAACGUCAUAACCGUACUGUAUUUGAUAUAGUGCAAUCUAUGAUGUCUCUUACCGAUUUACCACUAUUGAUUUGGGGUUAUGCAUUAGAGUCAGCUGCAUUCACGUUAAAUAGGGCACCAUCUAAAUCUGUUGAGAUGACACCGUAUGAACUAUAGUUUGGCAAGAAACCUAAGCUGCCGUUUCUUAAAGUUUGAGGUUGCAAUGCUUAUGUGAAAAAGUUUCAACCUGAUAAGCUCAAACCCAAAUCAGAGAAGUGCGUCUUCAUAGGAUACCCAAAAUAAAAAUGUUGGGUACACCUUCUAUCAUAGAUCCGAAGGCAAGAUAUUCAUUGCUGAGAAUGGAUCCUUUCUAGAGAAGGAGUUUCUCUCGAAAGAAGUGAGUGGGAGGAAAGUAGAACUUGACGAGGUAACUGUACCUGCUCCCUUAUUGGAAAGUAGUACAUCACAGAAACCUGUUUCUGCGACACCUACACCAAUUAGUGAAGAAGCUAAUGAUAAUGAUCAUGAAACUUCAGAACAAGAUACUACUGAACCUCGUAGAUCAACCAGAGUAAGAUCCGCGCCGGAGUGGUACGGUAAUCCUGUUCUGGAAAUCAUGCUACUAGAUCAUGAUGAACCUACGAACUAUGAAGAAGCGACGGUGAGCCCAGAUUCCGCAAAAUGGCUUGAAGCCAUGAAAUCUGAGAUGGGAUCCAUGUAUGAGAACAAAGUAUGGACUUUGGUUGACUUGCCCGAUGAUCGGCAAGCAAUUGAGAAUAAAUGGAUCUUCAAGAAGAAGACUGACACUGACGGUAAUAUUACUGUCUAUAAAGCUCGACUUGUCGCAAAGGGUUUUCGACAAGUUCAAGGGGUUGACUACGAUGAGACCUUCUCACCCGUAGCGAUGCUUAAGUCUGUCCGAAUCAUGUUAGCAAUUGCCGCAUUUUAUGAUUAUGAAAUUUGGCAGAUGGAUGUCAAAACUGCAUUCCUGAAUGGAUUUCUGGAAGAAGAGUUGUAUAUGAUGCAACCGGAAGGUUUUGUCGAUCCAAAGGGAGCUAACAAAGUGUGCAAGCUCCAGCGAUCCAUUUAUGGACUGGUGCAAGCCUCUCAGAGUUGGAAUAAACGCUUUGAUAGUGUGAUCAAAGCAUUUGGUUUUAUACAGACUUUCGGAGAAGCCUGUAUUUACAAGAAAGUGAGUGGGAGCUCUGUAGCAUUUCUGAUAUUAUAUGUGGAUGACAUAUUACUGAUUGGAAAUGAUAUAGAAUUUCUGGAUAGCAUAAAGGGAUACUUGAAUAAGAGUUUUUCAAUGAAAGACCUCGGUGAAGCUGCUUACAUAUUAGGCAUAACGAUCUAUAGAGAUAGAUCAAUACGCUUAAUUGGACUUUCACAAAGCACAUACCUUGACAAGAUUUUGAAGAAGUUCAAAAUGGAUCAAGCAAAGAAAGGGUUCUUGCCUGUGUUACAAGGUGUGAAGUUGAGUCAGACUCAAUGCCCGACCACUGCAGAAGAUAGAGAGAAAAUGAAAGAUGUUCCCUAUGCUUCAGCCAUAGGCUCUAUCAUGUAUGCAAUGCUGUGUACCAGACCUGAUGUGUGCCUUGCUAUAAGUUUAGCAGGGAGGUACCAAAGUAAUCCAGGAGUGGAUCACUAGACAGCGGUCAAGAACAUCCUGAAGUACCUGAAAAGGACUAAUUAUAUGUUUCUCGUAUAUGGAGGUGACAAAGAGCUCAUCGUAAAUGGUUACGUUGAUGCAAGCUUUGACACUGAUCCGGACGAUUCUAAAUCGCAAACCGGAUACGUGUUUACAUUAAACGGUGGAGCUGUCAGUUGGUGCAGUUCUAAACAAAGCGUCGUGGCGAGAUCUACAUGUGAAGCGGAGUACAUAGCUGCUUCGGAAGCAGCAGACAAAGGAGUCUGGAUGAAGGAGUUCAUAUACGAUCUAGGUGUCAUACCUAGUGCAUCGGGUCCAAUGAAAAUCUUUUGUGACAAUACUGGUGCAAUUGCCUUGGCGAAGGAAUCCAGAUUUCACAAAAGAACCAAGCACAUCAAAAGACGCUUCAAUUCCAUCCGGGAUUUAGUCCAGGUGGGAGACAUAGAGAUUUGCAAGAUACAUACGGAGCUGAAUGUAGCAGACCCGUUGACUAAGCCUCUUCCACGAGCAAAACAUGAUCAGCACCAAAGCUCCAUGGGUGUUAGAAUCAUUAUUGUGUAAUCUAGAUUAUUGACUCUAGUGCAAGUGGGAGACUGAAGGAAAUAUGCCCUAGAGGCAAUAAUAAAGUUAUUAUUUAUUUCCUUAUAUCAUGAUAAAAGUUUAUUAUUCAUGCUAGAAUUGUAUUAACCGGAAACAUAAUACAUGUGUGAAUACAUAGACAAACAGAGUGUCACUAGUAUGCCUAUACUUGACUAGCUCGUUAAUCAAAGAUGGUUAUGUUUCCUAACCAUGGACAAAGAGUUGUCAUUUGAUUAACGGGAUCACAUCAUUAGUUGAAUGAUCUGAUUGACAUGACCCAUUCCAUUAGCUUAGCACCCGAUCGUUUAGUAUGUUGCUAUUGCUUUCUUCAUGACUUAUACAUGUUCCUAUGACUAUGAGAUUAUGUAACUCCCGUGUGCCGGAGGAACACUUUGUGUGCUACCAAACGUCACAACAUAACUGGGUGAUUAUAAAGGUGCUCUACAGGUGUCUCCAAAGGUACAUGUUGGGUUGACGUAUUUCGAGAUUAGGAUUUGUCACUCCGAGCAUCGGAGAGGUAUCUCUGGGCCCUCUCGGUAAUGCACAUCACUUUAGCCUUGCAAGCAUUGCAACUAAUGAGUUAGUUGCGGGAUGAUGUAUUACGGAACGAGUAAAGAGACUUGCCGGUAACGAGAUUGAACUAGGUAUUGGAUACCGACGAUCGAAUCUCGGGCAAGUAACAUACCGAUGACAAAGGGAACAACGUAUGUUGUUAUGCGGUCUGACCGAUAAAAGAUCUUCGUAGAAUAUGUAGGAACCAAUAUGGGCAUCCAGGUCCCGCUAUUGGUUAUUGACCGGAGAUGUGUCUCGGUCAUGUCUACAUUGUUCUCGAACCCAUAGGGUCCGCACGCUUAAGGUUACGAUGACAGUUAUAUUAUGAGUUUAUGCAUUUUGAUGUACCGAAGUUUGUUCGGAGUCCCGGAUGUGAUCACGGACAUGACGAGGAGUCUCGAAAUGGUCGAGACAUAAAGAUUGAUAUAUUGGAAGCCUAUGUUUGGAUAUCGGAAUUGUUCCGGGUGAAAUCGGGAUUUUACCGGAGUACCGGGAGGUUACCGGAACCCCCCGGGAGCUAUAUGGGCCUUAGUGGGCCUUAGUGGAAGAAGAGGAGAGGCGGCCAGGGCUGGGCCGCGCGCCCCUCCCCCCUAGUCCGAAUAGGACAAGGAGAGAGGGGGCCGGCGCCCCCCUCCUUCUCUCUCCCUCUUUUCCCACCUCACGAGUCCUAUUCCAACUAGGAUUUGGGGGGAAGUCCUACUCCCGGAGGGAGUAGGGCUCCUCCUGGCGCGCCCUAUGAUGGCCGGCCGGCCUCCCCCUCUUGAACCUUUAUAUACGGAGGCAGGGGCACCCCUAGAGAGACAAGUUGAUCCACGUGAUCAUAAUCUUAGCCGUGUGCGGCGCCCCCUUCCACCGUAGUCCUCGAUAAUAUUGUAGCGGUGCUUAGGCGAAGCCCUGCGACAGUAGUACAUCAAGAUCGUCACCACGCCGUUGUGCUGACGGAACUCUUCCCCGACACUUUGCUGGAUCAGAGUCCGGGGAUCAUCAUCAAGCUAAACGUGUGCUAGAACUCGGAGGUGCCGUAGUUUCGGUGCUUGAUCGGUCGGGCCGUGGAGACGUACGACUACAUCAACCAAACGCUUCUGUUGUCGAUCUACAAGGGUACGUAGAUCACACUCUCCCCUCUCGUUGCUAUGCAUCACGAUGAUCUUGCGUGUGCGUAUGAAUUUUUUUGAAAUUACUACGUUCCCCAACAGUGGUAUCAGAGCCUAGGUUUUAUAUGUUGAUGUUAUAUGCACGAGUAGAACACAAGUGAGUUGUAGGCGAUAUAAGUCAUACUGCUUACCAGCAUGUCAUACUUUGGUUCGGCGGUAUUGUUGGACGAAGCGGCCCAGACCGACAUUACGCGUACGCUUACGCGAGACCGGUUCUCCCGACGUGCUUUGCACAUAGGUGGCUUGUGGGUGACAGUUUCUCCAACUUUAGUUGAACCGAGUGUGGCUACGCCCGGUCCUUGCGAAGGUUAAAACAGCACCAACUUGACAAACUAUCGUUGUGGUUUUGAUGCGUAGGUAAGAUUGGUUCUUGCUUAAGCCCGUAGCAGCCACGUAAAACUUGCAACAACAAAGUAGAGGACGUCUAACUUGUUUUUGCAGGGCAUGUAGUGAUGUGAUAUGGUCAAGACAUGAUGCUAAAUUUUAUUGUAUGAGAUGAUCAUGUUUUGUAACCGAGUUAUCGGCAACUGGCAGGAGCCAUAUGGUUGUCGCUUUAUUGUAUGCAAUGCAAUCGCGCUGUAAUGCUUUACUUUAUCACUAAGCGGAAGCGAUAGUCGUGGAAGCAUAAGAUUGGCGAGACGACAACGAUGCUACGAUGGAGAUCAAGGUGUCGCACCGGUGACGAUGGUGAUCAUGACGGUGCUUCGGAGAUGGAGAUCACAGGCACAAGAUGAUGAUGGCCAUAUCAUAUCACUUAUAUUGAUUGCAUGUGAUGUUUAUCUUUUAUGCAUUUUAUCUUGCUUUGAUUGACGGUAGCAUUAUAAGAUGAUCUCUCACUAAAUUAUCAAGAAGUGUUCUCCCUGAGUAUGCACCGUUGCCAAAGUUCGUCAUGCCCAGACACCAUGUGAUGAUCGGGUGUGAUAAGCUCUACGUCCAUCUACAACGGGUGCAAGCCAGUUUUGCACACGCAGAAUACUCAGGUUAAACUUGACGAGCCUAGCAUAUGCAGAUAUGGCCUCGGAACACUGAGACCGAAAGGUCGAGCGUGAAUCAUAUAGUAGAUAUGAUCAACAUAGUGAUGUUCACCAUUGAAAGCUACUCCAUUUCACGUGAUGAUUGGUUAUGGUUUAGUUGAUUUGGAUCACGUGAUCACUUAGAGGAUUAGAGGGAUGUCUAUCUAAGUGGGAGUUCUUUAAGUAAUUUGAUUAAUUGAACUUAAAUUUAUCAUGAACUUAGUACCUGAUAGUAUCUUGCUUAUGUAUGUUUGAUUGUAGAUAGAUGGCCCGUGCUGUUGUUCCAUUGAAUUUUAAUGCGUUCCUUGAGAAAGCAAAGUUGAAAGAUGAUGGUAGCAAUUACACGGACUGUGUCUGUAACUUGAGGAUUAUCCUCAUUGCUGCACAGAAGAAUUACGUCCUGGAAGCACCGCUGGGUGCCAGGCCUGCUGCUGGAGCAACACCAGAUGUUAUGAACGUCUGGCAGAGCAAAGCUGAUGACUACUCGAUAGUUCAGUGUGCCAUGCUUUACGGCUUAGAAUCGGGACUUCAAUGACGUUUUGAACGUCAUGGAGCAUAUGAGAUGUUCCAGGAGUUGAAGUUAAUAUUUCAAGCAAAUGCCCGGAUUGAGAGAUAUGAAGUCUCCAAUAAGUUCUAUAGCUGCAAGAUGGAGGAGAACAGUUCAGUCAGUGAGCAUAUACUCAAAAUGUAUGGGUAUAAUAAUCACUUGAUUCAGAUGGGAGUUAAUCUUCCAGAUGAUUGCGUCAUUGACAUAAUUCUCCAAUCACCGCCACCAAGCUACAAGAGCUUCGUGAUGAACUAUAAUAUGCAAGGGAUAAAUAAGACUAUUCCCGAGCUCUUCGCAAUGCUGAAAGCUGCGGAGGUAGAAAUCAAAAAGGAGCAUCAAGUGUUGAUGGUCAACAAGACCACUGGUUUCAAGAAAAAGGGCAAAGGGAAGAAGAAGGAGAACUUCAAGAAGAACAUCAAGCAAGUUGCUGCUCAAGAGAAGAAACCCAAGUCUGGACCUAAGCCUGAAACUGAGUGCUUCUACUGCAAGCAGACUGGUCACUGGAAGCGGAACUGCCCCAAGUAUUUGGCGGAUAAGAAGGAUGGCAAGGUGAACAAAGGUAUAUGUGAUAUACAUGUUAUUGAUGUGUACCUUACUAGAGCUCGCGGUAGCACCUGGGUAUUUGAUACUGGUUCUGUUGCUAAUAUUUGCAACUCGAAACAGGGACUACAGAUUAAGCGAACACUGGCAAAGGACGAGGUGAUGAUGCGCGUAGGAAAUGGUUCCAAAGUCGAUGUGAUCGCGGUCGGCACGCUACCUCUACAUCUACCUUCAGGAUUAGUAUUAGACCUAAAUAAUUGUUAUUUGGUUCCAGCGUUGAGCAUGAACAUUAUAUCUGGAUCUUGUUUAAUGCGAGACGGUUAUUCAUUUAAAUCAGAGAAUAAUGGUUGUUCUAUUUAUAUGAGUAAUAUCUUUUAUGGUCAUGCACCUUUGAAGAGUGGUCUAUUUUUGAUGAAUCUCGAUAGUAGUAACACACAUAUUCAUAAUGUUGAAACCAAAAGAUGCAGAGUUGAUAAUGAUAGUGCAACUUAUUUGUGGCACUACCGUUUAGGUCAUAUCGGUAUAAAGUGCAUGAAGAAACUCCAUACUGAUGGACUUUUGGAACCACUUGAUUAUGAAUCACUUGGUACUUGUGAACCGUGCCUCAUGGGCAAGAUGACUAAAACACCGUUCUCCGGUACUAUGGAGAGAGCAACAGAUUUGUUGGAAAUCAUACAUACAGAUGUAUGUGGUCCGAUGAAUAUUGAGGCUCGUGGCGGAUAUCGUUAUUUUCUCACCUUCACAGAUGACUUAAGCAGAUAUGGGUAUAUCUACUUAAUGAAACAUAAGUUUGAAACAUUUGAAAAGUUCAAAGAAUUUCAGAGUGAAGUUGAAAAUCAUCGUAACAAGAAAAUAAAGUUUCUACGAUCUGAUCGUGGAGGAGAAUAUUUGAGUUACGAGUUUGGUGUACAUUUGAAACAAUGCGGAAUAGUUUCGCAACUCACGCCACCCGGAACACCACAGCGUAAUGGUGUGUCCGAACGUCGUAAUCGUACUUUACUAGAUAUGGUGCGAUCUAUGACGUCUCUUACUGAUUUACCGCUAUCGUUUUGGGGUUAUGCUUUAGAGACGGCCGCAUUCACGUUAAAUAGGGCACCAUCAAAAUCCGUUGAGACGACGCCUUAUGAACUAUGGUUUGGCAAGAAACCAAAGUUGUCGUUUCUUAAAGUUUGGGGCUGCGAUGCUUAUGUGAAAAAGCUUCAACCUGAUAAGCUCGAACCCAAAUCGGAGAAAUGUGUCUUCAUAGGAUACCCAAAGGAGACUGUUGGGUACACCUUCUAUCACAGAUCGAAGGCAGGACAUUCGUUGCUAAGAAUGGAUCCUUUCUAGAGAAGGAGUUUGGCCUUCAGUUAAAACAAUGUGAAAUAGUUUCACUACUCAUGCCACCUGGAACACCACAAUGUAAUGGUGUGUCCAAACGUCAUAACCGUACUGUAUUUGAUAUAGUGCAAUCUAUGAUGUCUCUUACCGAUUUACCACUAUUGAUUUGGGGUUAUGCAUUAGAGUCAGCUGCAUUCACGUUAAAUAGGGCACCAUCUAAAUCUGUUGAGAUGACACCGUAUGAACUAUAGUUUGGCAAGAAACCUAAGCUGCCGUUUCUUAAAGUUUGAGGUUGCAAUGCUUAUGUGAAAAAGUUUCAACCUGAUAAGCUCAAACCCAAAUCAGAGAAGUGCGUCUUCAUAGGAUACCCAAAAUAAAAAUGUUGGGUACACCUUCUAUCAUAGAUCCGAAGGCAAGAUAUUCAUUGCUGAGAAUGGAUCCUUUCUAGAGAAGGAGUUUCUCUCGAAAGAAGUGAGUGGGAGGAAAGUAGAACUUGACGAGGUAACUGUACCUGCUCCCUUAUUGGAAAGUAGUACAUCACAGAAACCUGUUUCUGCGACACCUACACCAAUUAGUGAAGAAGCUAAUGAUAAUGAUCAUGAAACUUCAGAACAAGAUACUACUGAACCUCGUAGAUCAACCAGAGUAAGAUCCGCGCCGGAGUGGUACGGUAAUCCUGUUCUGGAAAUCAUGCUACUAGAUCAUGAUGAACCUACGAACUAUGAAGAAGCGACGGUGAGCCUAGAUUCCGCAAAAUGGCUUGAAGCCAUGAAAUCUGAGAUGGGAUCCAUGUAUGAGAACAAAGUAUGGACUUUGGUUGACUUGCCCGAUGAUCGGCAAGCAAUUGAGAAUAAAUGGAUCUUCAAGAAGAAGACUGACACUGACGGUAAUAUUACUGUCUAUAAAGCUCGACUUGUCGCAAAGGGUUUUCGACAAGUUCAAGGGGUUGACUACGAUGAGACCUUCUCACCCGUAGCGAUGCUUAAGUCUGUCCGAAUCAUGUUAGCAAUUGCCGCAUUUUAUGAUUAUGAAAUUUGGCAGAUGGAUGUCAAAACUGCAUUCCUGAAUGGAUUUCUGGAAGAAGAGUUGUAUAUGAUGCAACCGGAAGGUUUUGUCGAUCCAAAGGGAGCUAACAAAGUGUGCAAGCUCCAGCGAUCCAUUUAUGGACUGGUGCAAGCCUCUCAGAGUUGGAAUAAACGCUUUGAUAGUGUGAUCAAAGCAUUUGGUUUUAUACAGACUUUCGGAGAAGCCUGUAUUUACAAGAAAGUGAGUGGGAGCUCUGUAGCAUUUCUGAUAUUAUAUGUGGAUGACAUAUUACUGAUUGGAAAUGAUAUAGAAUUUCUGGAUAGCAUAAAGGGAUACUUGAAUAAGAGUUUUUCAAUGAAAGACCUCGGUGAAGCUGCUUACAUAUUAGGCAUAAAGAUCUAUAGAGAUAGAUCAAUACGCUUAAUUGGACUUUCACAAAGCACAUACCUUGACAAGAUUUUGAAGAAGUUCAAAAUGGAUCAAGCAAAGAAAGGGUUCUUGCCUGUGUUACAAGGUGUGAAGUUGAGUCAGACUCAAUGCCCGACCACUGCAGAAGAUAGAGAGAAAAUGAAAGAUGUUCCCUAUGCUUCAGCCAUAGGCUCUAUCAUGUAUGCAAUGCUGUGUACCAGACCUGAUGUGUGCCUUGCUAUAAGUUUAGCAGGGAGGUACCAAAGUAAUCCAGGAGUGGAUCACUAGACAGCGGUCAAGAACAUCCUGAAGUACCUGAAAAGGACUAAUUAUAUGUUUCUCGUAUAUGGAGGUGACAAAGAGCUCAUCGUAAAUGGUUACGUUGAUGCAAGCUUUGACACUGAUCCAGACGAUUCUAAAUCGCAAACCGGAUACGUGUUUACAUUAAACGGUGGAGCUGUCAGUUGGUGCAGUUCUAAACAAAGCGUCGUGGCGAGAUCUACAUGUGAAGCGGAGUACAUAGCUGCUUCGGAAGCAGCAGACGAAGGAGUCUGGAUGAAGGAGUUCAUAUACGAUCUAGGUGUCAUACCUAGUGCAUCGGGUCCAAUGAAAAUCUUUUGUGACAAUACUGGUGCAAUUGCCUUGGCGAAGGAAUCCAGAUUUCACAAAAGAACCAAGCACAUCAAAAGACGCUUCAAUUCCAUCCGGGAUUUAGUCCAGGUGGGAGACAUAGAGAUUUGCAAGAUACAUACGGAGCUGAAUGUAGCAGACCCGUUGACUAAGCCUCUUCCACGAGCAAAACAUGAUCAGCACCAAAGCUCCAUGGGUGUUAGAAUCAUUAUUGUGUAAUCUAGAUUAUUGACUCUAGUGCAAGUGGGAGACUGAAGGAAAUAUGCCCUAGAGGCAAUAAUAAAGUUAUUAUUUAUUUCCUUAUAUCAUGAUAAAAGUUUAUUAUUCAUGCUAGAAUUGUAUUAACCGGAAACAUAAUACAUGUGUGAAUACAUAGACAAACAGAGUGUCACUAGUAUGCCUAUACUUGACUAGCUCGUUAAUCAAAGAUGGUUAUGUUUCCUAACCAUGGACAAAGAGUUGUCAUUUGAUUAACGGGAUCACAUCAUUAGUUGAAUGAUCUGAUUGACAUGACCCAUUCCAUUAGCUUAGCACCCGAUCGUUUAGUAUGUUGCUAUUGCUUUCUUCAUGACUUAUACAUGUUCCUAUGACUAUGAGAUUAUGUAACUCCCGUGUGCCGGAGGAACACUUUGUGUGCUACCAAACGUCACAACAUAACUGGGUGAUUAUAAAGGUGCUCUACAGGUGUCUCCAAAGGUACAUGUUGGGUUGACGUAUUUCGAGAUUAGGAUUUGUCACUCCGAGCAUCGGAGAGGUAUCUCUGGGCCCUCUCGGUAAUGCACAUCACUUUAGCCUUGCAAGCAUUGCAACUAAUGAGUUAGUUGCGGGAUGAUGUAUUACGGAACGAGUAAAGAGACUUGCCGGUAACGAGAUUGAACUAGGUAUUGGAUACCGACGAUCGAAUCUCGGGCAAGUAACAUACCGAUGACAAAGGGAACAACGUAUGUUGUUAUGCGGUCUGACCGAUAAAAGAUCUUCGUAGAAUAUGUAGGAACCAAUAUGGGCAUCCAGGUCCCGCUAUUGGUUAUUGACCGGAGAUGUGUCUCGGUCAUGUCUACAUUGUUCUCGAACCCAUAGGGUCCGCACGCUUAAGGUUACGAUGACAGUUAUAUUAUGAGUUUAUGCAUUUUGAUGUACCGAAGUUUGUUCGGAGUCCCGGAUGUGAUCACGGACAUGACGAGGAGUCUCGAAAUGGUCGAGACAUAAAGAUUGAUAUAUUGGAAGCCUAUGUUUGGAUAUCGGAAUUGUUCCGGGUGAAAUCGGGAUUUUACCGGAGUACCGGGAGGUUACCGGAACCCCCCGGGAGCUAUAUGGGCCUUAGUGGGCCUUAGUGGAAGAAGAGGAGAGGCGGCCAGGGCUGGGCCGCGCGCCCCUCCCCCCUAGUCCGAAUAGGACAAGGAGAGAGGGGGCCGGCGCCCCCCUCCUUCUCUCUCCCUCUUUUCCCACCUCGCGAGUCCUAUUCCAACUAGGAUUUGGGGGGAAGUCCUACUCCCGGAGGGAGUAGGGCUCCUCCUGGCGCGCCCUAUGAUGGCCGGCCAGCCUCCCCCUCUUGAACCUUUAUAUACGGAGGCAGGGGCACCCCUAGAGAGACAAGUUGAUCCACGUGAUCAUAAUCUUAGCCGUGUGCGGCGCCCCCUUCCACCGUAGUCCUCGAUAAUAUUGUAGCGGUGCUUAGGCGAAGCCCUGCGACAGUAGUACAUCAAGAUCGUCACCACGCUGUCGUGCUGACGGAACUCUUCCCCGACACUUUGCUGGAUCAGAGUCCGGGGAUCGUCAUCAAGCUAAACGUGUGCUAGAACUCGGAGGUGCCGUAGUUUCGGUGCUUGAUCGGUCGGGCCAUGGAGACGUACGACUACAUCAACCAAACGCUUCCGUUGUCGAUCUACAAGGGUACGUAGAUCACACUCUCCCCUCUCGUUGCUAUGCAUCACGAUGAUCUUGCGUGUGCGUAUGAAUUUUUUUGAAAUUACUACGUUCCCCAACAAAAUUCCACAGCAAGUAAGUUGUUAUUUGAAAAUGUACACACAGAGAUAAGAGAGAACUUAUAUAUGGACAUGGAAAAAAAAUCUGUCUGAAUUCAGUAGAUAUUAUUUCUCUCUAUCAAUGUAUAGCUGUUGUAUUAGGAGGAUCUGUUUGUUUGAAUAAAAAUUAACCCAUAUAUUUUAAGCUAUAUAUUUUAAGCUAUAUAGAAUCAUGUAACUGAAAUAGUAGUACAUAGCUACAAUGGCAUGCAUCCUAUUGGCUCUUACACAGUAAUAACUGGAUCACUAUGUAAUCAUGUUACUGAAACAAUACAUAAGCACAUGCAGUCUGCAUGUCAAGUUUUCUCUAAGAAUAAAUUUAGGUAUAUGUCACAAUAAAAUCGGAGUAGAGAUUGUUCAAUAGAAAACUGGUAGUUCACUUUGUUUCGUAUAUCCAGUUGUCUCUACUAAGAGUUUUACUGCAAGCAAAAAACUUGAACAAAUCUGAGCCUUCGAUCCAAAAUUAAAAUCUGCAGAUCUGAAAAUAAAAAAGGGACCGAUAGAACAAAACAUGGAAACUAAGAAGUAGUUCUUAUUCGAACAACUUAGAUUGGCAAUUGUGUAUUGCAAGGGGGAACGGCGAGUCCAUACAAACCAAUCUCCUUAUCGUCAUUGAGUUGUCUAAGAUUGGCGAUUGUAUUUGCGGCAUACCAUUUGAUGUUUGUUAUGAGAGCCUGAUGAUCUACCCUGUUCUGGAUAAGUGUGCCUCUUCACUUUAUAUUUUGGUGUUACCGUCCGGCUUCUCAAUGAUGACCACGAUAUUGUUAACUUUGAUGGAAUGCCCAUUAACAGAGGACGAGUAUGGACCUGCAAUUUAGAAUUACAAAAAUAGUGGUUAGCCUCUGUACACGUCAAAUGAGAUGGGCAUGUAUAAACAAUAAAUAUCUCUUGAAGUUUAAAGCCAAAAGUUUAGAUCCAGUAUGCAUAAUUAACAUUAACAUGACUUCAAGGGUUACAGUGUGGUGUUUAUGAAGGAUUCGAAAGUGAUUAACUAAUACAUUCAGAAAUCCUCAUUCAGAAUCAGAACGGCAUAGAUAUUCCACUUAGGGUAUACGAGCCUGCUAAGAUGUUCAACUUUUUGUUAGCAGCUCUUGCAAAGAUGACUAAAGAUAUUAUCAUGACAAGGGGGAGAAAGAGAAAGAGAAGGAUUAAGAAGAAGUGCUUGCUAAGGAAGAAUACAAAAUAAGAACACUGUCUUAAAUGUGCGUUUUCCAUCCUUAUACAAUCCUUGUUGAGCACUAAACUACCUGAAAAACAAGAAAGCGGGAUAAGAUUAACACAAAAUGAAUGUGCCAAAAGAAAACAUACAUAAAUGAAUAUUUCAUCUCAAGAUGAACCCAUACGUCCAUAUCUAGCUUGCCAUGGAUUGUAGGAAUAUUUCAUCUCAAGAUGAACCCAUACGUCCAUAUCUAGCUUGCCAUGGAUUGUAGGAAAAAUCAUUUGAAAUCAUAUUUGUUUAGCUGGCUGCUCCGCCCCUCUAUUCCAGCCGCUGAGGGCAUGACCGUGGUCAUCUCCUCCACUGACGCCGCGCUGAGACAUUGUUCCGGAGCGUCCGUGAAGAGCGGCGGCUGUUCACGUGUAUUGGUGGGUGUGAUCAUAUCAUUUAUCACAUGAUCCUGUACCUAAAUCCAAAACACACAACUUCAAAAGCUGAACCGAUAUAAGUAAGAGAAGAAUACUGAAUAUAUACCAAAUGCACCUUCUGCCUAUAAUCGAUGAAGCUGGUGCUUUCCUACAUGAAUGCCACUUCCAACUGUUGGCUCAUUUUCAGUUUUUGUCCGGUGAGGCAAAAUAAUGGCAACUG
Molecule: long non-coding RNA, 18699 nt
Filed under: Triticum aestivum (bread wheat)
Lineage: Eukaryota; Viridiplantae; Streptophyta; Magnoliopsida; Poales; Poaceae
Description: long non-coding RNA (TAES_LNC002172)
Source: RNAcentral